UCAGUGAGGCUAGUGAUGGUACUGUCCCUGUUUAGUGAGGCUAGUUAUGUUAUUAUUGUUUGACAGUACAUGAGAUUCACCUCAUUGGCUAAUCACUAAUAUGUCCCCAUACAGACCAAGUAUGACUUCACUUCCUGUCACGGAGUGCUGUUGGUCUGUCUGAUUGUCCUGUUCCUCUUCGGCUUCCUCUGCAUCUUCAUCCGCAACAAGAUCCUGGAACUGGUCUAUGCCUCGCUGGGCGCUCUACUCUUCACAUGCUUCUUGGCUGUGGACACUCAGCUGCUGCUUGGCAACAAGGAGAAUGCCCUGAGUCCAGAGGACUAUGUUUUUGCUGCUCUCUCCCUGUACACUGACAUCAUCAACAUCUUCCUCUACAUCCUGGCUAUCGUUGGAAGAGCACGGAACUGAGAGCUUCCUCUAAAGGAACCAUUGAAGGAUGAAGGAGUGUUUUUACAGGAGUUACCAAUCUGUUCCCAUAUCUAGUACAACACCUGCCACACAUCGUGUUAUGUGUCUAUGUCUCAGGUGAACACUGCUGUCACCUGUCCUUCUAAACGUGGUUCCCUUUGUGCUUUUAGAGCAGUGGUUCCCUCUGUGCUUUUAGAGCAGUGGUUCCCUUUGUGCUUUUAGAGCAGUGGUUCCCUUUGUGCUUUUAGAGCAGUGGUUCCCUUUGUGCUUUUAGAGCAGUGGUUCCCUCUGUGCUUUUAGAGCAGUGGUUCCCUCUGUGCUUUUAGAGCAGUGGUUCCCUCUGUGCUUUUAGAGCAGUGGUUCCCUCUGUGCUUUUAGAGCAGUGGUUCCCUUUGUGCUUUUAGAGCAGUGGUUCCCUCUGUGCUUUUAGAGCAGUGGUUCCCUCUGUGCUUUUAGAGCAGUGGUUCCCUCUGUGCUUUUAGAGCAGUGGUUCCCUCUGUGCUUUUAGAGCAGUGGUUCCCUCUGUGCUUUUAGAGCAGUGGUUCCCUCUGUGCUUUUAGAGCAGUGGUUCCCUCUGUGCUUUUAGAGCAGUGGUUCCCUCUGUGCUUUUAGAGCAGUGGUUCCCUCUGUGCUUUUAGAGCAGUGGUUCCCUCUGUGCUUUUAGAGCAGUGGUUCCCUCUGUGCUUUUAGAGCAGUGGUUCCCUCUGUGCUUUUAGAGCAGUGGUUCCCUCUGUGCUUUUAGAGCAGUGGUUCCCUCUGUGCUUUUAGAGCAGUGGUUCCCUCUGUGCUUUUAGAGCAGUGCCCCCCUAGCGAACUCAGUCCGGCGUUGAACUUAGUUGUAAUAGUAGAAUGCACAAGGUGACAUUUCUAAAUUGGGUGGUGCAUCAUCAGUUCCUCUUGUCAGUCAUUACGUACCAUGUUUGGGUAACCCUGAUCUAGCAGAUGCUCUUAUCCAGAGCAAUGUAUUUUUCUAUUGUGUUACUGUUUUUCUUUGCUCAUUUUUCGUACUUUUUAAACAACCACAUAUCACAGUCAUAGCAAGUAACUCUGCUCUAUAGUACUCCCUCAUGUUCAUUGUGCUCAUUUUUACCACAAUCCAGACUGGUUUAAAUUGUGUAGUGUGAAUAAUUCAUAAUAUUUUAAUUCAAUUUGUUUUGUGAUAUUUCUGAUGUUUGUGAGUCUUUGCAGCUGUAUUUGUUGAUAUUUAUUCAAUUAAAACUGAAUUGUGAUCUCUU
This is a long non-coding RNA of Oncorhynchus keta (chum salmon), 1643 nucleotides long. RefSeq lists it as uncharacterized. The record is from RefSeq and is a predicted model, not a curated record. The transcript has 2 exons. NCBI's taxonomy places the organism in Eukaryota, Metazoa, Chordata, Actinopteri, Salmoniformes, Salmonidae.